This 463-nucleotide ribosomal RNA is filed under the name uncultured bacterium. Its description in RNAcentral is "bacterial SSU rRNA". It matches the Rfam family "Bacterial small subunit ribosomal RNA", at positions 355 to 825 of the family's 1533-position model. The record is from RNAcentral.
UCGGGAAUUUUGGGCAAUGGGCGACAGCCUGACGCAGCGACGCCGCGUGGGGGAUGAAGGUCUUCGGAUUGUAAACCCCUUUCGGCAGGGAAGAUGGAACGGGUAACCGUUCGGACGGUACCUGCAGAAGCAGCCACGGCUAACUUCGUGCCAGCAGCCGCGGUAAUACGAAGGUGGCAAGCGUUGUUCGGAUUUACUGGGCGUACAGGGAGCGUAGGCGGUUGGGUAAGCCCUCCGUGAAAUCUCCGGGCCUAACCCGGAAAGUGCGGAGGGGACUGCUCGGCUAGAGGAUGGGAGAGGAGCGCGGAAUUCCCGGUGUAGCGGUGAAAUGCGUAGAGAUCGGGAGGAAGGCCGGUGGCGAAGGCGGCGCUCUGGAACAUAUCUGACGCUGAGGCGCGAAAGCUAGGGGAGCAAACGGGGAUUAGAUACCCAAGUAGUCCCUGAGCGGGCUGGCAAGGCGCAU